This is a non-coding RNA of Pogona vitticeps (central bearded dragon), 536 nucleotides long. NCBI's taxonomy places the organism in Eukaryota, Metazoa, Chordata, Lepidosauria, Squamata, Agamidae. The record is from RefSeq and is a predicted model, not a curated record.
AUGGUACAAGAGUGACAAUCUGCUGAAGGGUGCUGCACCCAGGAGACAGAUAAGGCUCCGGCAUGAGAAAAGAAAGAGCUGUCCCACAAUCCAAUUUGGUUUCAUGCCAAUUCAAUCUUAAUUGCAUGCCUGAUGUGAAGCAGUCAGAAUUAAGGUAAUGCUUGCCUUACAGUGGAGUCCAGAUGGGUGUCAUCAGAUGUGUCUACCACCACCCAACAGAGGAGUGCUGACCCUGGCUGCAGAGUAGAGGUUCUAAGAUUUGAUUCCCCACAGCACAUCCAAAAGAACAGCCAGCCUGUAUAGCCUUGGACAUGCGGCACAGCACCAAAGGACAAUCAGAAGAAAGGAACGAACUGGCACUGAAGGCAUUUGAAGAAAACAAACACUGGACCGAUCCAAGUUAUUAAGCCCAUGUUAGAAUAGAAAUAGUGUUAUUAGCGGCAGAACAAUGCAAACCUUAAUGCUACAGAAGCAUCAAAGAAAAAUACCAUACACCCUUUGGAACAGGGAUAUUCAUCUACUGGUUGUUAUAAAAG